AGAUUGAACGCUGGCGGCGUGCUUAACACAUGCAAGUCGAGCGGUAAGGCCUUUCGGGGUACACGAGCGGCGAACGGGUGAGUAACACGUGGGUGAUCUGCCCUGCACUCUGGGAUAAGCCUGGGAAACUGGGUCUAAUACCGGAUAUGACCUGCUCUCGCAUGGGGGUGGGUGGAAAGAUUUAUCGGUGCAGGAUGGGCCCGCGGCCUAUCAGCUUGUUGGUGGGGUAAUGGCCUACCAAGGCGACGACGGGUAGCCGACCUGAGAGGGUGACCGGCCACACUGGGACUGAGACACGGCCCAGACUCCUACGGGAGGCAGCAGUGGGAAUAUUGCACAAUGGGCGAAAGCCUGAUGCAGCGACGCCGCGUGAGGAUGAAGGCCUUCGGGUUGUAAACCUCUUUCAGCGAGGACGAAGCGCAAGUGACGGUACCUGCAGAAGAAGCACCGGCUAACGUACGUGCCAGCCAGACCGCGGUAAUCGUAGACGCGGACUGGACCG
Molecule: ribosomal RNA, 502 nt
Filed under: uncultured soil bacterium
Lineage: Bacteria
Description: bacterial SSU rRNA
Rfam family: Bacterial small subunit ribosomal RNA
Source: RNAcentral